GACAUGGUGGUCAUGCUGCCCAAGUCAGACACAUGCUUCUCUGGGGACAAAGAGGCUCCCUGACUCCUCGGGAGACCCACCGUGGCCCUUCCCAGGGUGAGCUGGGGCAGCCGGCCUUGUCGUCCUGAGCUGUCUGGACCCACCCCCCAGGCCCCCCUGCCUUUGGGUGGCUGCCUCCUGGCCAUCUCUGGGCCUCCCUCUUCUGCUCAAUAAACGUAUUCUGCAGUCUA
Molecule: long non-coding RNA, 230 nt
Organism: Lynx canadensis (Canada lynx)
Lineage: Eukaryota; Metazoa; Chordata; Mammalia; Carnivora; Felidae
Exons: 3
Source: RefSeq, a predicted model, not a curated record